CAGACAAUGGAAGACAAUGGCAGACGUAGCCUGUAAACUUAAUAUAUUGAAGGCCACACUAUCAAAACCCAAUGCUCAGGCAGGAGGUUGUAAUACAAUAAAUGUACUUUAAUUAGGAAGACGUCGGACCUUGGGUGAUCAAAUUUCCUUUCUCGGUUCAGGGAUCUUUACAUCAUGAGAGAAUCGGAACAAAAUUCAGCUUGAGGGCAGAGAGAAUUCAAAGCUAAUGCUCAAUAAUGUGCUGGCUGAAUAAACUGUGCAAUGUACACUCUUUUUGCUGUAUUUCUACCAUACACACACACACACACA
Pelobates cultripes (western spadefoot toad) is the source of this 309-nucleotide non-coding RNA. The record is from the annotation of a GenBank genome assembly. NCBI's taxonomy places the organism in Eukaryota, Metazoa, Chordata, Amphibia, Anura, Pelobatidae.